This 300-nucleotide ribosomal RNA is filed under the name uncultured Desulfurococcus sp. RNAcentral's name for it is "bacterial SSU rRNA". The stretch from base 61 to 300 matches the Rfam family "Bacterial small subunit ribosomal RNA", at positions 556 to 795 of the family's 1533-position model. Lineage: Archaea; Thermoproteati; Thermoproteota; Thermoprotei; Desulfurococcales; Desulfurococcaceae. The record is from RNAcentral.
GCGAGAGACGUUGCGGCAGCGGCGGGGAAGAGGAGGGUGGGGGUGGUAAAUGGGAUAGCGGGGCGUUAGGGGUGGGGAGGCGGGUGUGUAAGACAGGCGUGAAAGCCCCGGGGGUAACCUGGGAAGUGCGCUUGUGACUGCCAGGCGAGAGGACGGCAGAGGGGGGUGGAAGUCCACGGGUAGCAGUGAAAUGCGUAGAGAUGUGGAGGAACACCAAUGGCGAAGGCAGCCCCCUGGGUCGAUACUGACGCUCAUGCACGAAAGCGUGGGGAGCAAACAGGAUUAGAUACCCCGGUAGUC